AGUUCUAUAGCUCAGUGAUAAGAGCGCCAGGUAGUUAACCUGGAGGUCCUUGGUUUGAAUCCAAGUGGAACUA
RNAcentral lists this transfer RNA (73 nucleotides) under Caudoviricetes sp. RNAcentral's name for it is "tRNA-Asn". It matches the Rfam family "tRNA". Rfam says of the family: Transfer RNA (tRNA) molecules are approximately 80 nucleotides in length. Lineage: Duplodnaviria; Heunggongvirae; Uroviricota; Caudoviricetes. The record is from RNAcentral.